GAGAUGCCCUGCACGGUAUACUUGAGAUCGAACUAUUUGAUGUAUAGGGAAUAGACUUCAUGGGCCCAUUCCCAACUUCCUUUGGAAACAAGUAUAUCCUAGUUGGCGUCGACUAUGUGUCAAAAUGGAUAGAAGCAGUAGCCACACCAACAAAUGAGGAGAGAGUGGUAACGAAAUUCAUCAGAAAGAACAUCUUCACAAAGUUUGGCUCACCAAGAGCGAUAAUCAGCGAUGGAGGAAGUCACUUCUAUAAUCGACAAUUUGAAAAUUUAUUGAAAAAAUAUGGAGUAACUCAUAAAGUGGCAACUCCUUAUCAUCCCCAAACCAGCGGCCAAGUAGAAUUUCAAAUCGGGAGCUAAAACAUAUCCUUGAAAAAACAGUCAAUCGCUCAAGGAAAGACUUGGUCCAUGAAACUAGAUGAUACAUUAAGAGCAUACCGCACUGCAUAUAAAACUCCCAUUGGAACAACAACCUUCCGCUUGGUCCAUGGGAAGGCCUGCCACCUACCCGUCGAACUUGAACACAAAGCCUAUUGGGCCAUCCAAACCCUAAACUAUGACCUAAAAGCUGCUGGCGAAAAAAAGACUUCUACAGCUCAAUGAGCUAGAAGAGAUCAGACAGGACGCCUAUGAAAACACCAGGAUCUUCAAGGACAAAACCAAAAGAUGGCACGAUAGGCA
This 680-nucleotide unclassified non-coding RNA is filed under the name Hevea brasiliensis (rubber tree). The record is from RNAcentral. Lineage: Eukaryota; Viridiplantae; Streptophyta; Magnoliopsida; Malpighiales; Euphorbiaceae.